Bombina bombina (fire-bellied toad) is the source of this 212-nucleotide long non-coding RNA. RefSeq lists it as uncharacterized. Lineage: Eukaryota; Metazoa; Chordata; Amphibia; Anura; Bombinatoridae. The transcript has 3 exons. The record is from RefSeq and is a predicted model, not a curated record.
GGGCUAUAUUACAAGCUGGACAACACCUGAAGUAUAACUGUUCACAGAGCCCUUGCUUUGGUAAGCUGAAGACAUUUUGAGAUCAACAUUGAACAACAGCCAGGAAUUAGACACACAGCUGGCUGCUGAUGCUGAAGGCCUUACAGCCGCAUAUUCGCAUGAGCCUGUCACUCCUUGAAGACAUGAUUUAGCUGCUAAUCUAGCAGACAAGG